This is a long non-coding RNA of Asparagus officinalis (garden asparagus), 524 nucleotides long. RefSeq lists it as uncharacterized. The record is from RefSeq and is a predicted model, not a curated record. The transcript has 2 exons. Lineage: Eukaryota; Viridiplantae; Streptophyta; Magnoliopsida; Asparagales; Asparagaceae.
GUCGCCUCCCCCUCAGCCCCUCAGCUCCUCGUUGUCCCGUCGUCCUCCUCGACGUUUCGUCGUUAUCCUCCUUCGACAUCGUCGUCCCGUCAUCGUCUCGCCCCUCACCUCGUGCCCGAGCCCUCCCUCUCCUCCGGCAUCGCCGCCCAUCCUCGCCGAUACGAGAGGGAAGCACCGGAUCUUAGCGGAGCUCAAGAGGUUUGAACAAGAAGCUCGAUUCUUGGAGGUUAUUGUUGAGAGCUUGUCAGAAGACGAAAUUGCUAGCCUCAAGGAUGCCUUAUUUUUUACUUGUGUGAGUAAUUUAGCCUAAUAUUUUGUGAGAAUCAGAAAAGAAACUAGUGUUUUCAUGUGACGUAUCCAACAAGCUAUUGUAGUGUUAUCUUCUAUGGUUCAUGACUGCGGUUUCAACGGGUGGCAUGCCUCUGGUAGACCUUAUUUGCCGAUGCACUAACAUCCAUUGUAAAUAAUUUAUGUAAAAGUUUGUAAACAAUUUAUGUACUAUUUGCAUAUAAUUGGAUUUGAUA